GAUGAAGAACGUAGCGAAAUGCGAUAAGUAGUGUGAAUUGCAGAAUUCAGUGAAUCAUCGAAUCUUUGAACGCACAUUGCGCCCGCCAGUAUUCUGGCGGGCAUGCCUGUCUGAGCGUCAUUUCAACCCUCAUGCCCCUAGGGCGUGGUGUUGGGGAUCGGCCAAAGCCCGCGAGGGACGGCCGGCCCCUAAAUCUAGUGGCGGACCCGUCGUGGCCUCCUCUGCGAAGUAGUGAUAUUCCGCAUCGGAGAGCGAUGAGCCCCUGCCGUUAAACCCCCAACUCUCCAAGGUUGACCUCAGAUCAGGUAGGAAUACCCGCUGAACUUAAGCAUAUCAAUAAGCGGAGGA
RNAcentral lists this unclassified non-coding RNA (348 nucleotides) under soil metagenome. RNAcentral's name for it is "partial contains 5.8S ribosomal RNA, internal transcribed spacer 2, and large subunit ribosomal RNA". The stretch from base 1 to 120 matches the Rfam family "5.8S ribosomal RNA", at positions 35 to 154 of the family's 154-position model. The record is from RNAcentral.